GACGAACGCUGGCGGCGCGCCUAACACAUGCAAGUCGAACGAGCGAGAGAGAGCUUGCUUUCUCGAGCGAGUGGCGAACGGGUGAGUAACGCGUGAGGAACCUGCCUCAAAGAGGGGGACAACAGUUGGAAACGACUGCUAAUACCGCAUAAGCCCACGACCCGGCAUCGGGUUGAGGGAAAAGGAGCGAUCCGCUUUGAGAUGGCCUCGCGUCCGAUUAGCUAGUUGGUGAGGUAACGGCCCACCAAGGCGACGAUCGGUAGCCGGACUGAGAGGUUGAACGGCCACAUUGGGACUGAGACACGGCCCAGG
Molecule: ribosomal RNA, 312 nt
Filed under: uncultured bacterium
Lineage: Bacteria
Description: bacterial SSU rRNA
Rfam family: Bacterial small subunit ribosomal RNA
Source: RNAcentral